UCAUGGAGAUUAGUGGCUGCUUUUCCAAUCCUAUUUCAAGCCUCGAGGAGGCUGCUAUUUGUCAAAAGUGUUAUUAACCUCCAAUAGGCACCAGGAUAAAUGUUCGCUGGCACAGCCUCCUUCCCUCUGGGAUCCGUGCAGGAGAGAGGCUCCCAGGGACCCAGCCUCACCUGGGACCCGGCCGCAAAGACUCAGACGGGCUCUCAUGAGGGUCAGGGCACCUUAAAGAUGCACCCACCUGAGACGGGGAUGAGGGAACCACAAUCCAUAAUUUAAGGGAAAAGCCGCGUUCCGUGGAAAUAUAAACAGAGAGUUGCUCGGCUAAGGAGGAGAGGAAAAUCACUGCCUGAGCGGGGCAGGUCACAGUUAAAUGUUCUCUGGGCACAGUGCUUCUGCUGAAGGGCGAUUUAUCAGCCCAGCUAAGGCCGGGGUGGGUGACAGUGCUGGGGGGACUCCAGCGUGCAAACAACGCUGUCGUUCCCAAUAACCCGGGAUUCGCUCCGCGAGGCUCUCCUGAACUGCUCUGCAUUGCGAGUGCAAUGCGCAUGGAAGGAUGUGGCAAAACUCCCCUAACCUGGGAGAGCCGGGGGACAGAGAGGAGCCGAGCGGCGGCAGCGCGGCGGGGACCAACUUCUGCCGUGAUUUAUGGGCCAGGCAGCCCAACUUAUCUCCUGCUGAACGGCAGCUCCGGGGGAAAGAAGCCACAUCUCUGGGUCAUGCACUCAAUUAUUUAAAAGGGAAGGAGGGGAGAGGGAAGGGAGCGGCGGUGGCAGGACAGGCAGCCCCCGGGCCCCAGGUGCGCGGUGGGAAGGCUCCUCCUGCCACCGGCCCCGCGUGAGCCACAGCGACGCGUUAGACUUUCUCCCCGGCAGAGGAAAACACACGGGGAAAGCAGGGGGAUGCUCCCAGCUGGCAGCCAGGAGCGGGGAGAAGCCGUGCCCGCAGCCCCGUCCCUCCGCGCGUACCUCCAGCCGCCGGUGCCCGCCGCGCCGCGGUGCCCGUCCAUGCCGUGCCGGAGCCCGAGGUGUCCUGGGGAAGCGCGGGCGGCUGCCGUGACUUGGGAAUACAGAAUAUGUACCGGAUCGGAUUUAAAGGGCUAGAACCCCAAUUUGGCACCGCUGCUCCCCCCGGGGCGCCGCGCUGCCGCCCGGGCCUGCCAGCGCCAGCGUCCUGCUGCCGCCCGUCGGGGGCAUCCUGGCAGCCCGCGGGGCCGGCAGCACCGGGAUUUGCGGUGGCAGCAGCAACAAUCUGGAAAUCGAGGCUCCCUCCAGCAGCUCCAGGUCCCUCUCCAGACCCAGUCGUUCUCCAGACCUCCGUGAGAACACCCGUCUGCAACAGGCUGGGCUCUCAGUGCCCCUCGGCGGGGCAGGAAUGGCUGAGACACGGUGUCAGCCUUCCAUCCAGUGUUCCCAAAAAAAAAGGAGAGAGGGGACGAAGAGCAGGGUUUCCAAGGAGCCCUCCUUGGUCCGGAUUUUGAGCUCAAAUGGAGAAAGCCAAAGAAAACAAUGAACACAUCUUUCUUAUUCUUCUUCUUUAUCUUCUUUUACCCGGUUUGACCCCAAAGUGCUACCCACCCUCCCUGGGGCCGGCUCAGAACAUCGCGCUCUGGGUGUCCGAUCAAUGCGUGCCCUGCUCUCCGGGCUGACCCGGUGUUCUGGCUUCCUCUUGCCUCAUUAAUUACACCCAGGGGUGGGUGCCAGAAGGAAAAGCUGGUUCUAAUUCCAUGCUGCAACCCAGCUCCAAGCUGCUGGGAUAAUUAGCAGGUUGUUAAUGAACGAGAAGAUUCCCACCAUGGAGGGAGGAAGGACGGGCAGGGAGGGGAACACCCCUUGGGCCUGGCUGGGAAACCCGCAUUGGAGUCGGGGACUCUGUCCCUCAAUCCAAGGCUUGGGGCUGCCCUCAGUGCCUGGGAAGAUGCUCCCAGCGCCGGGGCUGCGGCCGGAUCCGCAGAGCAAGCUCCAAGGACUGUGCUUGGCUGGAGGCCACGCCGGGAGCGGAGCGGCUCCGUGUCCCAGCCGCAGCCUGCGGACACCCAUCUGCUCUGGGGACAGGGAGGAGGUGGCUGUGGAGCCUCCUUCUCCAUCCCGGGCGGGGCUGACUCGGGGCUGUGGGGUGUUUGGAGAUCACCAUCACUGUCUGCCAGGGCUCCUGCUGGGGGCUGGAGAGAGUUACCCCGAACACUUCUCUUUGAACCUCUCGUAAAGUGUGGGAACAGCACAGUCCUCCUUCCAAAUCAACCUGAUACCAAGUGUUGGUACCAUUUCCCUGGGUUUAGGCACCAGCUGAAAAUUCCUGGGAAAGGCAUUGCAUGGCAGAGCUGGUGGGAAAUUGCUUCUCUAAAUACUGAGGGGCAGGGGUGAGAUUCCAGCAAAAGCAGGAUGUCCUCAGAGGCUCCAGCCCGAGCUGCUGCCAUCUCGUGUGUCUCUCCAAGGCAUGUGGUUGUUGUUCCUUUAAUUAUUAAUCCUUGCAUUGACGUAAUCAAAUUUGCCCAAGCUUUUAACGGAUGUCUAGAUGUAAAAAAUGAAGAAUAAA
Long non-coding RNA from Prinia subflava (tawny-flanked prinia), 2532 nucleotides. RefSeq lists it as uncharacterized. The record is from RefSeq and is a predicted model, not a curated record. The transcript is spliced from 3 exons. Lineage: Eukaryota; Metazoa; Chordata; Aves; Passeriformes; Cisticolidae.